GUAGCAUUGAGAGAGUGAGGAGAUGCUGCCUGGUCUGGACCAGACUGAUUUUGACACCUGAGGUACAGAAAAUGAACAUCAUCAAGAGGUCCUUACUUUGCCAGCUCAGUCUGAAAUGCAAACUACAGCUGCAGUUAAGUGUUGAUAGCUCCCAGGAGAAUUCAGAUUACCAUGGUCAUAUGGAGCUGUGUCUCUGCCACCUUCUCUGCUCUUUUUUUCUGAAAUUGACAGGAUUUAACCUAUUUACAAGAUGUCUUUGCAAAUUAAGUAUGCGCACGACUCCAGAAGCCAAACAUAGUCUGCAGAGCACUGAAAGCCAGCCUUUUUCUUGAGGUCACACAUUUAAUGACACUGGACCUGAGUUUCUGUUCGUGGCACUGCCUCCUGAUUUCUGCUUCUGUUCCACCUUCUUUGCAGCUGCAUCACGCAAUCCUUUAUUUUAUUUUGACAAUUAAUAA
Long non-coding RNA from Vidua chalybeata, 458 nucleotides. RefSeq lists it as uncharacterized. The transcript has 3 exons. Lineage: Eukaryota; Metazoa; Chordata; Aves; Passeriformes; Viduidae. The record is from RefSeq and is a predicted model, not a curated record.